Molecule: ribosomal RNA, 1594 nt
Filed under: Nycteribia stylidiopsis
Lineage: Eukaryota; Metazoa; Arthropoda; Insecta; Diptera; Nycteribiidae
Description: SSU rRNA
Rfam family: Eukaryotic small subunit ribosomal RNA
Source: RNAcentral
GUUGUGGAGCGUGUGCUUUUAUUAUACAAAAACCAAGCAAUCGGUGAUUCCGCAUCAUCGAUUGUUAAAAUUUGGUUGAACUCUGAAUAACUUGCUGAUCGUAUGGUCUUGUACCGAUGACAGAUCUUUCAAAUGUCUGCCCUAUCAACUUUUGAUGGUAGUAUAUUGGACUACCAUGGUUGCUACGGGUAACGGGGAAUCAGGGUUCGAUUCCGGAGAGGGAGCCUGAGAAACGGCUACCACAUCUAAGGAAGGCAGCAGGCGCGUAAAUUACCCACUCCCAGCUCGGGGAGGUAGUGACGAAAAAUAACAAUACAGGACUCAUUUUAGAGGCAUUGUAAUUGGAAUGAGUACACUUUAAAUCCUUUAACAAGGACCUAUUGGAGGGCAAGCCUAGUGCCAGCAGCCGCGGUAACUCUAGCUCCAAUAGCGUAUAUUAAAGUUGUUGCGGUUAAAACGUUCGUAGUUGAAUUUGUGCUUCAUACGGGUAGUAUCGGUUAUAAAUGUAGUCGAUUACUAUACCUUAUGUAUGUAAGCGUAUUACCGGUGGGAGUUCCAUAUUUGUAUAUUUGUGUUGGAAUGCGGUGUGGCGUUAUUGUCUUGAUGAAUGUUUUGUCGUUUCGAUGACAUUGCAUCUCGUCAUUAGCAUGGCGUUGUAAUCCAUCCAACCGGUUUACAGAUAUACUCCUGAUUUUCUUUUUUUUUUAAAUAAAGAAAAAGAAAAACCCAUUUCGGUGCUCUUUAUCGGGUGUUGUUGUGGGCCGGUACAAUUACUUUGAACAAAUUAGAGUGCUUCAAGCAGGCUAUAAAAUGCCUGAAUAUUUUGUGCAUGGAAUAAUGAAAUAAGACCUCUGUUCUACUUUCAUUGGUUUUUAGAUCGAAAGAGGUAAUGAUUAAUAGAAGCAGUUUGGGGGCAUUAGUAUUACGACGCGAGAGGUGAAAUUCUUGGACCGUCGUAAGACUAACUUAAGCGAAAGCAUUUGCCAAAGAUGUUUUCAUUAAUCAAGAACGAAAGUUAGAGGUUCGAAGGCGAUCAGAUACCGCCCUAGUUCUAACCAUAAACGAUGCCAGCUAGCAAUUGGGUGUAGCUAAGAUUAUGGCUCUCUCAGUCGCUUCCCGGGAAACCAAAGCUUUUGGGCUCCGGGGGAAGUAUGGUUGCAAAGCUGAAACUUAAAGGAAUUGACGGAAGGGCACCACCAGGAGUGGAGCCUGCGGCUUAAUUUGACUCAACACGGGAAAACUUACCAGGUCCGAACAUAAGCGUGUAAGACAGAUUGAUAGCUCUUUCUCGAAUCUAUGGGUGGUGGUGCAUGGCCGUUCUUAGUUCGUGGAGUGAUUUGUCUGGUUAAUUCCGAUAACGAACGAGACUCAAAUAUAUUAAAUAGAUGCUUACAGGAUUAUGGUGUUGAAACUUUUGUAGCCUUCAUUCCUGUUGUGAAUGAGUUCAUUGUUGNCNGNNUUUGUUAUGCAAAUGUNUGCGGCNUUNUGNGUUGUAUGCAUUUCAUUCAUUUNCUUAAUNCAUUAGCUCAUUUUACAUAUGUUUGAAUGUGUUUUAUAGAAGUGGAGCCGUACCUGUUGGUUUGUCCUAAAUAUU